This is a long non-coding RNA of Triplophysa dalaica, 2104 nucleotides long. RefSeq lists it as uncharacterized. The transcript is spliced from 2 exons. Lineage: Eukaryota; Metazoa; Chordata; Actinopteri; Cypriniformes; Nemacheilidae. The record is from RefSeq and is a predicted model, not a curated record.
CAAAGGGUUUAGGUUUGGUAAGUAAAUGGAUGCUGGUUUUACUGGUUGUGGCUGCGUGCAUUUCUCGCUUUCCCCAUGCUGACUGAUAUUUGUUUGUGGCUUGAGGGACGUACUGUAUAGUAUUUGUCUCAAUUUCUGGAGUUCCAAUUGAUGUUUUUUUUAUUCAAACUGGGAAUCGCACACCCCACGCUGAUCUCUAAAAUCCUAAACUGCCGUUCUGCUCAGCCAUGCAGAACCCGAUGAGGUUUUAUUGGCAUGUCAAAUGUUCAUUUGAAAAGAAACUUUCAAUGAGUUAUAUCUUUCUGUUGCAUACAAUAUGCAGACAGUAAGUGUUAACACAGGUAGUCCUAUCAGAGUUUGAAGUCAGAUUUUUUCGGAUAUUCAUUUAAAUGUAAUUAAAGGGACAGUUCACCCAAAAACGAAAAUUCUGUCAUUGUUAACUCACCCUAUUUUCAUUUUAAACCUGCAUGACUUUUAUAGAACACAAAAGAAGAUAUUUUGAAGAAGCUUGGUAACCAAACAGCGCUGGCACCCAUUCACGUCUAUUGUAUGGACACAAAACCAUUGCUAGUGAAUGGGUGCCGGUUAACGACAUUCUUCAAAAUAUCUUCUUUUGUGUUCUGCGGAAGAAAGAAAGCCAUACAUGUUAGAAAUGACAGGAGUGUGGGCUAAAAAGACAGAAUUUUCAUUUUUGGGUGAAAUAUCCCUUUAAGCCACCAUAAAGCGAGACCUCCAUUUCUCGUGAAUUUUGGUUCUAGGCUGACUACAGCGAAGGCCUUGAAUGUUUGCAUGUCACCUGCCCGACAACAAAGCUCGCAGGGAGAGCAAGGACAGCCGGAUACCACACCAGACGGUGAAGAAGAGGACAUUUGCCAAAUCAGAACUGCGCUCGGGGAGUGAGAAACAGACCUGUUGGGAAGCAUCCUGUGGAAAUGUAACAGGUUGGAGAACUAGGCGGCCCAUCUAUGGCCAAAGGAGUGCAAAACUAUUCACAGACAGGUGCCAAAAACACCACGUUCCCACACUCACGAAUCCAUUGGCAGGCGAGGGGAAACUGCUUGUGUGCAUCUUUUAUGGUAAACCGCAAUUCCAUAUGCAGGUUUUGAACCUAGUGUGCUACGUAGUGUGAGUUUGUACACUAUAAAAUAGAACAAUAAGUAAUACAAGUUGAUCGGGCUCAACUUUUCUGAGAGAAUUUAAGUUAGAUGUUUAGCGUGAAGCUGUGGCGUGUGAGGUAUCUGAAAGAUUCAUAUUUACCUAAUGGUAAAAUAGCACAAUGAGGUCAUUUUUAUCACUACAUCUGUCUUAAACUAUCCCUUCUAAAAAAACGUAACUCAUAACUCCACGCGGACAAAUCCAUAUAAACGUAUGAGUCGCUAAGCCGUGAUUGUGGUUAGAAACCUCGCUGUGGGUUUUCGCAGAAAAGAUAAAUGCAUCGCGCUGGAGGAGAGUUCAUCUCUUAUGGUUUUACUGUAAAUGUUUACAUUCCAGCAUGCCGUGAUGUUAUCAGCUAAUCGUUUUUGGAACUGACUAAGGAGUCUUGUGGGUCGGAUUAUUGGUGGUGGUGUUGGGAACGGGGGUGGGGGGAUUUGCCUGAGGAGACAAGGUCAACGUGAAGCUGUGCUCUCUCCAAACAAAGGUAUUAACUGUGGGCCAAUUCUUUCCUUCCUCGUGCCCUUUCUAUAGCCUGGGCGAAUGCAUUAGCGCCCUUGUCCACAAACUUUAGCCUCAUGUUACGUCCUCUCACCUGUGAGCUUGAUUGUCUAUUGGGUGGGAGGUUUAGACCGGCUUGCUUAUGGAUUUGGCGAUGCAUGUCAAAAGCUUUGUAUUUCCUCACAACUCUUUAUGGUAAAUGUGAUGUUUUUUUCUGUUUAAAUAGACUGUUUCAUCAGAUGCAGGUGCCUGGUCUGAAAUUAACUUGCAUUAUAGAAAUUAAUUUUAUGUUUAAUUUAUAAUAAUAUUAUUUAUAUGAAUAUUUUGUUGUAUAUCCUUGUGGAGGUUAAGUCCGGGCCACACAACGUUUUUUUUUGUUGUUGCCACUGAAACUGUCUAUACUUAUUCCCUAAUUUAACAUGAAAAUAAAAAAGAGAUGUUGAUUUUUUUA